This is a long non-coding RNA of Athalia rosae (coleseed sawfly), 2173 nucleotides long. RefSeq lists it as uncharacterized. The transcript is spliced from 3 exons. The record is from RefSeq and is a predicted model, not a curated record. NCBI's taxonomy places the organism in Eukaryota, Metazoa, Arthropoda, Insecta, Hymenoptera, Athaliidae.
AACACUGUCUAUCGGAAGGGUACCCGGAAAAUUUAAUUUCCGAUUCUCAAGAUUUGGGGAUGUGGUUUUUUCGCGGAUCCAGCGAUCCGCACUCAUCGUAACGAACUCGCGAUAGAAUCUUGUACCUGGUACGUACGUAUGUCGUACAUUAAAAACGAACAAACGGACGAUCCGUUCCCGGUUAUAAUAACGUUGUCUCGCUCGACUCUUGACGUCACAUCCAGAACCUUGAUUCAAUUAUAGAAAAGAAAAAAAAGAAACUGCGCUCCUUUUAUUUAUCGCAAGGAUUCCUAUCCAUUGUAUUUAACGACGAGUGAGUGAUUAGGAAUGUCUAAUGACGAUAACGGUCCGUGGUUGAGACCGAUGUACUUUUUCUCUCCAAACUUCAAAUCGCAGUGAUAUUGUUCGGAUGGAAAUUGUAUAUUUCAUUUCAAUCGAUCCCAAGGAGAUGUGAAGAUGAAUUUCAACGUUACCAAAAUUACCAACUUACCAAAGAUGUUCGAAAAGUUGCUUUUCGAACCGGAAAUUUAACUUCCAUAAGAUCAAAAAAUCCACUCUUGACCUUCGCGGGCUCUGCGAUUGGCGUACCAAAAUUUGCGCGGUCAUCUUUGAUAAUCGCACCGUUCAGAGAUAUAGAACACCAACAAAAAUUUCUCGCGAUCGGACAACGGCUACUACAUUCAAUUUCGAUUUGAUAAUUAUAAAUAACUCCUCAGAAUCUAAUUCUACCUCGUAAUCGUUCCAAUUAAUCAGUGAACUAGUUCUCGUAGCUUCGCUACACUCCGAUGAUUAGCAAAAAUUUCCAAAUGACAUGGUGUCGGCGUAAAAAUUGGUAAAUGUUUGGAAAAAAUAUUUAACCAGAAAGAGAUUUUUAAAAUGAUCAAUAGAUGCGGUGAUGUUAUGCGAAAAAAUAAAUAUACAUUGGUUGAAACACUUGCGUCAAAGCUAACAAAGAAUAAAAUCACUUUGUAUCAAAAGAAAAAAGAACAAAAAAAAAAAAAAAAAUCAUUGAAAAUAUAAAUAAAACGACGUUUGUAUAAGAUGAUAAAAAAAAAAAAAUUGAAGAAAUUAUUUCGAUCGUUUUUGAAACAUGCGGAUGAAUCGUGUCCCGACCUAAUUGCUUUAUAGUAUGUGUUUUACACGCGAGUUGUUUCACCUUCGCAUUUACCCGACAAGAGAAAUAAAAGAACAAAGAAAAAAAAAGAAGAAGUUAACACAAUAAAUUCUCAUAUUUGAUCCUAUACAGUGUUAAUAUUUGUUCACUCAAACAUUAUGAAUGCACAUAUACACGUGAGUCAUUUAUCUGGAUCAAAUGAGUAACUUUACGAUUUCAACAAUAAAAUCGACUCUUUGCUGAGAAAAUACAUAUGACAUAAGGCAAGUGAAUAUAGGCAUAGCAUACAAUUUUCAGAUAUUGACAAUUCAACCGGUGUACGAGUGUUUUUGGAUCGACGUUCUAUGAGAGCGUCAAAAUACGUAUUUAGAAACGAUACGGCUAAUUGAAUUAAAAUAAGUUCAUAACUUGGCCAAUGUGAGCAUAAUUCAGAAAUUAUCGUGACAGUCAAGGGUUUGUCGAAAUGGACGUAAAAAUUAGUGUGUAUUAUAUAUAUGAAAAAAAAGAUGAUCCGUAAACUUAAUUAGUAUGUACAGUUUUCUUCUUUGAUCGAUGAAAUUUUAUUGCAUUUUAUUCAUAUUUUUCCUCUGAUGAGCAAUGUAUUUCCUGUCUUUUAUUUUAUGCGUCGUGCGAUCAUAUGUAUGUACGAUGCCAACUGAUUUAUCAUGCGUACAGAAGUUGUCCUGUAGUAAAUGAUGUUCUUCGUCGUUAAUUAUCGCGAUAACACAUAUGAUGUACUCGCGUGUAUGUACAUACGUAAAAUAUUUUUGUGUCGCGUGAACAGUUUAGAUAAUACGGAAUAUUCGCUACGGUAAUUCGUUAUUUGCCGUUAUUUUAUUUUAUUUUAUUUUUUCAUUCAUUCACCAUAAAAUGGUGCACUAAAUUCAUAAGAAAUUUACGACAGAUAAUAGGCGAAUUUUGUAAAAUACUUCGAUAUGUAGUACACGCGUACGUAUAAUUGUACAACGAGUAUUGAGCAGGCUGAUAAAAUAAUCUGCUUAUCGCUUGGCACGAUGAAUAAUUCAUUUUACUACCUCUGCGAUAUAGUAAUUGUUACUA